GACGAACGCUGGCGGCGUGCUUAACACAUGCAAGUCGAACGAUUACUACCGAGCUUGCUCUGUCUGAUUAGUGGCGAACGGGUGAGUAACACGUGAGCAACCUUCCCUUCACUCUGUGAUAACCGCGGGAGAUCGGUGCUACUACCUGCUAUGAGCUCCUGUCUCCUGGCGGGUGUUGGAAAGUUCUUCGGUGAAGGAUGGUCUGGCGGCCUAUCUGUUUGUUGGUGGGGUAGUGGCUCACCAAGGCGAUGACGGGUCGCCGGCCUGAGAGGGCGACCGGCCACCCUGGGACUGAGAGACGGCCCAGACUCCAACGGGAGGCAGCAGUGGGGAAUCUUGCACAAUGGGAGAAAGCCUGAUGCAGAGACGCCGCGUGAGGGAUGACGGCCUUCGGGUUGUAAACCUCUGUCAGCAGGGACGAAGCGAAAGUGACGGUACCUGCAGAAGAAGCGCCGGCUAACUACGUG
This 467-nucleotide ribosomal RNA is filed under the name uncultured bacterium. Its description in RNAcentral is "partial 16S ribosomal RNA". It matches the Rfam family "Bacterial small subunit ribosomal RNA", at positions 28 to 507 of the family's 1533-position model. The record is from RNAcentral.